This 497-nucleotide ribosomal RNA is filed under the name uncultured bacterium. RNAcentral describes it as "partial 16S ribosomal RNA". It matches the Rfam family "Bacterial small subunit ribosomal RNA", at positions 28 to 507 of the family's 1533-position model. The record is from RNAcentral.
GAUGAACGCUGGCGGCGUGCCUAAUACAUGCAAGUCGAGCGAACGGACGAGAAGCUUGCUUGCCUGAUGUUAGCGGCGGACGGGUGAGUAACACGUGGAUAACCUAGCUAUAUGACUGGGAGAACUUGGGGAAACCGGAGCUAAUACCGGAAAAUAUCUUGAUCUUCAUGGUUCAAAAGUGAAAGGCGGUAUGGCUGUCACUUAUAGAUGGAACCGCGCUGCAUUAUCUAGUUGGUAAGGUAACGGCUUACCAAGGCAACGAUGCAUAGCCGACCUGGGAGGGGGAUCGGCCACCCUGGAACGGGGCCCCGGUCCGGCCCCCUACGGGAGGCAGCGGUAGGGAAUCUUCCGCAAUGAGCGAAGGCCUGCCGGAGCACGGCGGCGUGAGUGAUGAAGGUCUUCGGUUCGUAAACUUCUUUGUUUGGGGAGGACCAGAUGUAUAGGUAACAGUGCACACCUUGACGGUACCUAAUCAGAAAGCCACGGCUAACUACGUG